CAAUAGCGUAUAUUUAAGUUGUUGCAGUUAAAAAGCUCGUAGUUGGACUUAGGGGUGGGUCAGUCGGUCCGCCUCACGGUGAGCAUCGGUCUGCUCGUCCUUACUGUCAGCGAUGCGCUCCUGGCUUUAAUUUGUUCGGUUGUUCCUCCGGUGCUGUUACAUUGAAGAAAUUAGAGUGCUCAAAGCAGGCCUACGCUUGUAUACAUUAGCAUGGGAUAACAUCAUAGGAUUUCGAUCCUAUUGUGUUGGCCUUCAGGAUCGGAGUAAUGAUUAACAGGGACAGUCGGGGGCAUUCGUAUUUCAUAGUCAGAGGUGAAAUUCUUGGAUUUAUGAAAGAUGAACAACUGCGAACGCAUUUUACAAGGAUGUUUUCAUUAA
This 378-nucleotide ribosomal RNA is filed under the name uncultured eukaryote. RNAcentral describes it as "partial 18S ribosomal RNA". It matches the Rfam family "Eukaryotic small subunit ribosomal RNA", at positions 592 to 976 of the family's 1831-position model. The record is from RNAcentral.